AAACCGCUUAGGGGUUAAGCCCGAUGAACCCGAAUAUCUGAUGUGAGAAAUUCAAUGCCGUAUAUUUUACAUUUAUGUAAUGUGUAUUGUGUGCACUUUUCUCAUAGUAAGACAUUGUAAUCCAUUGAUGUUAUAUCUCUUUAUUGAGAUGAUUUAACAAACGAGCAAAAUGUAUUGGCUUAUUCUAUCAGUGAUGUGUUUUCAUGUCAUAUGAAUAAAAUUCAUUUUGUAUCUGUUUAAAUAGUCGAUGGUUUUGAUUUGGAUCAUGCUGCAAAUUUUUUUGCAUUUCAUAUUAUUAGUUUUUAAUUAGUAAUAGCAGAAAUGGCAUGUAUUUGAUUAACAAUGCGUUAGAUUUGGGAUGCCUUCGGGACCCGUCUUGAAACACGGACCAAGGAGUCUAACAUAUGUGCAAGUCAUUGGGUAUUUUGUUGAAACCUAUUGGCGUAAUUAAAAUAACUAUAUUUUUAAUUUGGGAUUACAAGUAAUGUUUCCAUGUGUGCAUUGCUUUUCCAUCCCGGGGCGUUCUAUACGAACAUGAUGUAAGCAAUUGCGUCCUCUGUUUAAGAGCGUACCUUGAGCACAUAUGCUGU
RNAcentral lists this ribosomal RNA (590 nucleotides) under Acoenonia europaea. RNAcentral's name for it is "eukaryotic LSU rRNA". It matches the Rfam family "Eukaryotic large subunit ribosomal RNA", at positions 402 to 812 of the family's 3401-position model. Lineage: Eukaryota; Metazoa; Arthropoda; Insecta; Diptera; Cecidomyiidae. The record is from RNAcentral.